GACGAACGCUGGCGGCGUGCUUAACACAUGCAAGUCGAGCGAGGGGCUUCGGCUCCUAGCGGCGAACGGGUGAGUAACACGUGGGCAACCUGCCCCGAGCUCUGGAAUAACCUCGGGAAACCGGGGCUAAUGCCGGAUAUGACAUUGCCGGGCAUCUGGUGGUGUGGAAAGAUUUAUCGGCUCGGGAUGGGCCCGCGGCCUAUCAGCUUGUUGGUGGGGUGAUGGCCUACCAAGGCGACGACGGGUAGCCGGCCUGAGAGGGCGACCGGCCACACUGGGACUGAGACACGGCCCAGACUCCUACGGGAGGCAGCAGUGGGGAAUAUUGCGCAAUGGGCGAAAGCCUGACGCAGCGACGCCGCGUGGGGGAUGACGGCC
RNAcentral lists this ribosomal RNA (378 nucleotides) under Frankia sp. Its description in RNAcentral is "bacterial SSU rRNA". It matches the Rfam family "Bacterial small subunit ribosomal RNA", at positions 28 to 416 of the family's 1533-position model. The record is from RNAcentral. Lineage: Bacteria; Bacillati; Actinomycetota; Actinomycetes; Frankiales; Frankiaceae.